Molecule: non-coding RNA, 912 nt
Filed under: Pan troglodytes (chimpanzee)
Lineage: Eukaryota; Metazoa; Chordata; Mammalia; Primates; Hominidae
Source: RNAcentral
GUCAUGAACAGCAUACCCAACACCAAAGCCAUCAGAGACCACAGGGGCAAAGCCCCCAAGGUUCACUGCUGGGCUGCUCAGCGUGCUCGUGGACAGGACAUUGUGGUUUAUCUGCCCGUAUGCAGGGUCCAGGUAGAGCUCAGGCAAGAUGAUCCCUUUGGCUGCUGCCAGAUGCCGCAGAGCAAACAAGUGUCGGUCAAAGCCCUGGCCUGUGAGAAACAAAAUGGAAAACCAGAGUCUCAGGAUGGAAAAGGACCUCAGGAAAACCUCCCAACUCACCACAUGGACCAGGAGGUGUCUGGCCUUGUCAUCAGUGAAGAGUUCAUCCCGACUGGGUUUGGGUAAACGAGUUGAGUUGAAAAGCCGAAAAUACUGGGACAUAUCCAGGGGAUACGCAUUGACCAGGUAGGCCCCAUACCAGGACAGAGAGGAAGGCACAAAGCGUAUGAGUCUCUUGAAGGUGAUAGUGUCACUUUUUGCAGGGUUCAAGUGGAACACUUCUGGCUCCAGAAGGCCAGCCCGGAGUGUCUUCAGAAACCGGAUGGCAGAAACAGUCAUGUUGGUUGCCCGGGUGAGCUGGUCAUUAUACUCAGAUUUUGGGUCAGGAUUGAAAGCCAUAAAUGGAUUAAAGUUCAGAACAACGGAGUCUCGAGCAGAUAGGUACAUAUCAAACCAGGGUCCUAAAAAAUAAAAAGAAAAAAAUAACAUAAAAUGAUAAUGCUGUCCCUAAAAAUAAAAUUUGAAGAAGAAAAAAAAUUCAAGCAUAGGCAAAGGAAAUGGCAUCAACCUCCAGAGAGAAGAAUUCCCUGAAUGUUUUUGCUCUGCAAUAAUUCAAGACAUACAAAUGGGGUCAUACAAUAUAUGGUGUUUUGCAUCUAGCUUCUAUCACUUACAAUAAUGUUUUUGUUUUGU